GACGAACGCUGGCGGCGUGCUUAACACAUGCAAGUCGAACGGAAAGGCCCUGCUUUUGUGGGGUGCUCGAGUGGCGAACGGGUGAGUAACACGUGAGUAACCUGCCCUUGACUUUGGGAUAACGUCAGGAAACUGGGGCUAAUACCGGAUAGGAGCUCCUGCUGCAUGGUGGGGGUUGGAAAGUUUCGGCGGUUGGGGAUGGACUCGCGGCUUAUCAGCUUGUUGGUGGGGGAGUGGCUUACCAAGGCUUUGACGGGUAGCCGGCCUGAGAGGGUGACCGGCAAAAUUGGGACUGAGAUACGGCCCAGACUCCUCCGGGAGGAAGCAGUGGGGAAUAUUGCACAAUGGGCGGAAGCCUGAUGCAGCAACGCCGCGUGCGGGAUGACGGCCUUCGGGUUGUAACCCGCUUUAGCCUGUGACGAAGCGUGAGUGACGGUAAUGGGUAAAGAAGCACCGGCUAACUACGUG
Molecule: ribosomal RNA, 468 nt
Filed under: uncultured bacterium
Lineage: Bacteria
Description: partial 16S ribosomal RNA
Rfam family: Bacterial small subunit ribosomal RNA
Source: RNAcentral